RNAcentral lists this ribosomal RNA (544 nucleotides) under uncultured bacterium. Its description in RNAcentral is "bacterial SSU rRNA". It matches the Rfam family "Bacterial small subunit ribosomal RNA", at positions 777 to 1320 of the family's 1533-position model. The record is from RNAcentral.
AAUAGAUACCCGGGUAGUCCACGCCGUAAACGAUGAGUGCUAAGUGUUGGGGGGUUUCCGCCCCUCAGUGCUGCAGCUAACGCAUUAAGCACUCCGCCUGGGGAGUACGGUCGCAAGACUGAAACUCAAAGGAAUUGACGGGGGCCCGCACAAGCGGUGGAGCAUGUGGUUUAAUUCGAAGCAACGCGAAGAACCUUACCAGGUCUUGACAUCCCGGUGACCACUAUGGAGACAUAGUUUCCCCUUCGGGGGCAACGGUGACAGGUGGUGCAUGGUUGUCGUCAGCUCGUGUCGUGAGAUGUUGGGUUAAGUCCCGCAACGAGCGCAACCCUUAUUCUUAGUUGCCAUCAUUCAGUUGGGCACUCUAAGGAGACUGCCGGUGAUAAACCGGAGGAAGGUGGGGAUGACGUCAAAUCAUCAUGCCCCUUAUGACCUGGGCUACACACGUGCUACAAUGGACGGUACAAACGGUUGCCAACCCGCGAGGGGGAGCUAAUCCGAUAAAACCGUUCUCAGUUCGGAUUGUAGGCUGCAACUCGCUACA